CGGACGGGUGAGUAACGCGUGGGUAACCUGCCUCAUACAGGGGGAUAGCAGUUGGGAACGACUGGUAAAACCGCAUAAGCGCACGGUGUCGCAUGACACAGUGUGAAAACACUCCGGUGGUAUGAGAUGGACCCGCGUCUGAUUAGCUAGUUGGUGAGGUAACGGCCCACCAAGGCGACGAUCAGUAGCCGGCCUGAGAGGGUGAACGGCCACAUUGGGACUGAGACACGGACCAA
RNAcentral lists this ribosomal RNA (236 nucleotides) under uncultured Bacillota bacterium. Its description in RNAcentral is "uncultured Firmicutes bacterium partial 16S ribosomal RNA". It matches the Rfam family "Bacterial small subunit ribosomal RNA", at positions 99 to 334 of the family's 1533-position model. Lineage: Bacteria; Bacillati; Bacillota. The record is from RNAcentral.